Molecule: long non-coding RNA, 332 nt
Filed under: Elaeis guineensis (African oil palm)
Lineage: Eukaryota; Viridiplantae; Streptophyta; Magnoliopsida; Arecales; Arecaceae
Description: long non-coding RNA (EGUI_LNC076317)
Source: RNAcentral
AUUCCCUCCGUCGGAACGACGUCACCGGUAAACCCUAUCAAGGGGGAGCAAAUCGGUCUCAGAUGACCGCUAAGAGUGGACAUUCUUGAAAAGGCAUCGUAGAACAAGAUGUCGGCCGAACUUCUGUUGUCAACAAGAAUGCGACGGACGUCGUAGUUUGCUAUGUUCAAGGAGACUACGACCGCAUCGUUAUGAGGGAAUUGGACUCCCUGGGCAUCUUUUUCGAUGAAGGUUAUGGGUUCUUCAACCUUUUGCCGCUUAGGGGAUGCAGCUGGUGCGCUGAUUGCCUCCCGUCGGGAUUCUCCCGAGAUGACGUUGAUGGAAUCCGGCAG